This 529-nucleotide long non-coding RNA is filed under the name Androctonus crassicauda. The record is from RNAcentral. Lineage: Eukaryota; Metazoa; Arthropoda; Arachnida; Scorpiones; Buthidae.
UGUUUAGGCAGUAUAGUUAGAGUUUGAAUUGCAAACUUUGAGGAUAGAAUAAGUUAGAGUAAGUUUGGUUUUUUUAUAUUAAGACAUCUUUUCUUUCAAGUCAUUUCUUUGAAGUUAAUAGCUUAUUUGAUUUGAGUGUUGCACUAAAACGCAUCAUAAGGUAGCAAGUCCAGUACCAGCAGUUUUAGUUACAAAUGCUGUUUACGAACACUGGAUGUAAAAUUACUCGUCCAUUAGAUUAUUGCAAGUUCUUGGAAAAGGGUAACAUUGCAGAACUAUUGCCUUAUGUACAACUUGGAAAUGAAAGUUAUUUACAUAAUUUCUUAAAAAACCAUGGCAGACAGAGGACAUGUUACUUUUACUUCUCAGUCCAUCAUAUUGUUUUUCUCAUUUUGUAGCAGAUCACAGAAUGUCUAUUGUUAAAACUAUUAGUACUGAAUUAUAUAGCUACAUAUUUGAUUUGAAAUGCCUAUUUGUGAAUGUUUAGAAUUUAUUUUUUUGAAAUUAAUAUUCAUAUUUUCAAUUUUUU